RNAcentral lists this ribosomal RNA (358 nucleotides) under uncultured bacterium. Its description in RNAcentral is "bacterial SSU rRNA". It matches the Rfam family "Bacterial small subunit ribosomal RNA", at positions 29 to 416 of the family's 1533-position model. The record is from RNAcentral.
AACGAACGCUGGCGGCAGGCCUAACACAUGCAAGUCGAACGCUCCGCAAGGGGAGUGGCGCACGGGUGAGUAACACGUGGGAACCUACCUUCUGGUACGGAACAACCAAGGGAAACUUUGGCUAAGACCGUAUACGACCUCCGGGUGAAAGAUUGAUCGCCGGAAGAGGGGCCCGCGCCCGAUUAGGUAGUUGGUGAGGUAACGGCUCACCAAGCCUUCGAUCGGUAGCUGGUCUGAGAGGAUGACCAGCCACACUGGGACUGAGACACGGCCCAGACUCCUACGGGAGGCAGCAGUGGGGAAUAUUGGACAAUGGGCGCAAGCCUGAUCCAGCCAUGCCGCGUGAGUGAUGAAGGCC